AUACGGGGGGUGCAAGCGUUAUUCGGAAUUAUUGGGCGUAAAGAGCGCGUAGGCGGUUUUUUAAGUCAGAUGUGAAAGCCCGGGGCUCAACCCCGGAAGUGCAUUUGAAACUGAAGGACUUGAGUAUGGGAGAGGGAAGUGGAAUUCCUGGUGUAGAGGUGAAAUUCGUAGAUAUCAGGAGGAACACCGGUGGCGAAGGCGACUUCCUGGACCAAUACUGACGCUGAGGCGCGAAGGCGUGGGGAGCAAACAGGAUUAGAUACCCUGGUAGUCCACGCAGUAAACGGUGAUCACUAGGUGUAGCGGGUAUUGACCCCUGCUGUGCCGGAGUUAACGCAUUAAGUGAUCCGCCUGGGGAGUACGGUCGCAAGAUUAAA
Molecule: ribosomal RNA, 377 nt
Filed under: uncultured bacterium
Lineage: Bacteria
Description: bacterial SSU rRNA
Rfam family: Bacterial small subunit ribosomal RNA
Source: RNAcentral